This is a long non-coding RNA of Anser brachyrhynchus (Pink-footed goose), 1710 nucleotides long. NCBI's taxonomy places the organism in Eukaryota, Metazoa, Chordata, Aves, Anseriformes, Anatidae. The record is from Ensembl.
UGCGCCCUGCUGCCCACAUGGCUGUGUCCGGGGAAUGGCCUGGGGUGCCAGGCAAGGUGCCAGCUCCAGCCUGAAGAGCCUGGGGACCUCACCUUGCUUCCAGCCUGGUGAUUGAGCAUUUGGCAGGAGGCUUGGGCUGCACUUCCGCAGGAAACCCAGCCAACGUGAUUCCUUCCUGCUGCCAAAAAGGGAAGGCCUGGCUCCCUCACCCCAUGCCCCUUGGUCACAAGGCCCUGCACUCCCCUGUGGUAGUUCUGGCAUGCACUGGCCUCUGCUGAGGCAAUUCAACUUCCUGAAAACACCAGAAAGAAUUUUUCCCCUCUCCUUUUUGCAGGUAUAACUUCACUCUGGUUUAGGGAGUUGUGUCAUCCUGUGGAGGGAUCCAGUGAUCCCUACAGCUGGCUCAGAGAAAGCACACGAGCAGCCAUGAGCUGUUGGCAGCUCAGGCAAAGUCUUUCUUUACACAUCAGAUCCACGCAUCUUCUUAUGGACUAGGCAGCAAAAUCGUACUCAAUGCACCACCAGAAUUAUUUCUGUUGCAAGUGAGAAAAACUCUUAAGUGGUCUUAUUUUGGUUCCACCUUUUUUUUUUUUUUUUUUUUUUUUUCCAGAAGCAGUUCAGUUGCUGGCAUGUAAAAUCAGCUUUUGACCAUUACGUGUAGGAGCUGAUGUUCCUGAGAAGGUGCUAAAUUGUACUCUACACCAAAGAAAAGUGCAGGUCAACAGAAGACAGCUACUUAAUUGCCAGCAAAGGGAAGAGGGAAGGAUAUUUCGUUCAGACACACACAUUACCUUGUCUACUGGUUUAUUAGCUGCCUUCAGGUGAGUUGAAUGAAAGCAGGUGAUGCAACUAUGCUUCAAAUCAUGUAAAAGGGAUGCAUUUUCCCCUUCUACCUUUUCAUCCUGUCAUAGGAAACUAUGGAGAUCAAUAAUGCAGUGAAUACUAAAUGUAACAAGUGGGAGACCCAGCAGAAGGAAAGAGAAGCUCAGAAAAUCAAGCAUUUGGAGUCCCAGAAAAUUUGAAGGUCAAGCUCCUCCAGAUUGCCCCCACCAGAAAUGCCCACGUUUGGGAGGGAAAAAAAGGGAUCUUAGAAGAGCUGCAUUGAGUUUCUGGGUGAUAAAACUGCUGAACCCUUCCUCAGCCUUCUCCAUUGCUCAUCAAAAGAAACGGAUACGCCAAACGUUUAUAAGCAACUGGAGUAAAGGGUAUUUCCACAUGAAAAGAUGUAAUAGUAGCCAAGGAUGUACUCUUAACCACUUCUUAAAGCUGAAUACCUAUGGAGUCAAUGGGAUAAAGGACUCCUAACAUUAUGCUUUGCCAGUACUAAGAAUAAUUCACCUCUGAUUUCUUUUUAAGAAGCAUCUGCCUUUCUACUUCCUUGUAGAUGUUAUUCAUUGUGAGGAAUUACCCUUAAUUUUAGGUUAUAACUGUGGAUUCAACCACAACAUACAGAAAUUUUACAUGAAGUUCUUCCAUUGUUUGCGGUGUAUUAACUCCAGUUAAUACUGGGGGGGGAGAAGAGAUCAAGACUUAUUUUAGAACUCAUAUCUGAACUUGGGAUCUGCAUUUAGUUGGAUGCGAGUCCUAAUUUUUGAAGGAAUUUAUUUUGAAUCUACUGCUUUUGACUGGAGUUUAAAUACCCUUCAAAAUGUUUAACCAAGGUGAUGUGGUUUCAGUUGCACAAUAAAAAUCAACUCUGAAGAUAGUUCA